GUUAUCAUGGCAGAGAGGUUAAUGCGGAAGUCCUAAACUCUUCUCCCCGCGGGUUCAACUCCCGCUAAUAACU
Molecule: transfer RNA, 73 nt
Filed under: Yoda sp. d ASH-2021
Lineage: Eukaryota; Metazoa; Hemichordata; Enteropneusta; Torquaratoridae
Description: tRNA-Leu
Rfam family: tRNA
About the family: Transfer RNA (tRNA) molecules are approximately 80 nucleotides in length. Their secondary structure includes four short double-helical elements and three loops (D, anti-codon, and T loops).
Source: RNAcentral